CCCUUAGAUGUUCUGGGCGGCCCGCGCACUACACUGGCACUCUCAAUCAGAGCCUGGAUCUAACACUUUGGGGUAUUCUAUGAAGUGGUGUCGUGACUGGGAUUAACCCUUGCAAUUAUUGGUUACGAACGAGGAAUUCCUUGUAAUCGCGGUUUAUCAGCCCGCGUUGAAUGCGUCCCUGCCCUUUGUACACACCGCCCGUCGCUCCUACCGAUGGAUCGUCCGGUGAAGCUCAUGGAGGGGCGGUUGUCUCAGCUGCCGUCGAAGUGAAAUGGACCUAACGAUCUAGAGGAAGGAGAAGUCGUAACA
RNAcentral lists this ribosomal RNA (309 nucleotides) under uncultured eukaryote. RNAcentral's name for it is "partial 18S ribosomal RNA". It matches the Rfam family "Eukaryotic small subunit ribosomal RNA", at positions 1470 to 1796 of the family's 1831-position model. The record is from RNAcentral.